UAGGGAAUCUUCCACAAUGGACGAAAGUCUGAUGGAGCAACGCCGCGUGAGCGAAGAAGGUUUUCGGAUCGUAAGGCUCUGUUGCUGGAGAAGAACGAGUGCGAGAGGAAGUGCUCGUACUGUGACGGUAUCCAGCCAGAAAGCCACGGCUAACUACGUGCCAGCAGCCGCGGUAAUACGUAGGUGGCAAGCGUUGUCCGGAAUUAUUGGGCGUAAAGCGCGCGCAGGCGGCUUCUUAAGUCUGAUGUGAAAUCUUGCGGCUCAACCGCAAACGGUCAUUGGAAACUGGGAAGCUUGAGUGCAGAAGAGGAGAGUAGAAUUCCACGUGUAGCGGUGAAAUGCGUAGAUAUGUGGAGGAAUACCAGUGGCGAAGGCGGCUCUCUGGUCUGUAACUGACGCUGAGGCGCGAAAGCGUGGGGAGCAAACAGGAUUAGAUACCCUGGUAGUCCACGCCGUAAACAAUGAAUGCUAGGUGUUAGGGGGGUCCAACCCCUUAGUGCUGAAGUUAACACAUUAAGCAUUCCGCCUGGGGAGUACGACCGCAAGGUUG
This 550-nucleotide ribosomal RNA is filed under the name uncultured Sporolactobacillus sp. RNAcentral describes it as "bacterial SSU rRNA". It matches the Rfam family "Bacterial small subunit ribosomal RNA", at positions 355 to 896 of the family's 1533-position model. The record is from RNAcentral. Lineage: Bacteria; Bacillati; Bacillota; Bacilli; Caryophanales; Sporolactobacillaceae.